RNAcentral lists this ribosomal RNA (487 nucleotides) under Fusarium sporotrichioides. Its description in RNAcentral is "SSU rRNA". It matches the Rfam family "Bacterial small subunit ribosomal RNA", at positions 354 to 825 of the family's 1533-position model. The record is from RNAcentral. Lineage: Eukaryota; Fungi; Ascomycota; Sordariomycetes; Hypocreales; Nectriaceae.
GUGGCAAGUCUUCCAGUAUGGGGAGCAAACAGCUAUGGGUCAAGCCCGAUACCUUUAAGAGAAGUCUUAUUGUGAGGGCGAGUUAUAUAACACCAUAGGGCUGGCCGUCCCAUAUGAAAAGAUUUUAUUAGAAUUGAAUGAAACUUUGUUUAUAUAUUGAUAAUGACAGUAUAUAUAUCGUGUCUUGACUAAUUGCGUGCCAGCAGUCGCGGUAAUACGUAAGAGACUAGUGUUAUUCAUCUUAAUUAGGUUUAAAGGGUACCCAGACGGUCAAUAUAGCUUAUAAAAUGUUAGUAUAUGACUAGAGUUUUAUGUAAGAGGGCAGUACUUGAGGAGGAGAGAUGAAAUUUCGUGAUACCAAAGGGACUCUGUAAAGGCGAAGGCAGCCCUCUAUGUAAAAACUGACGUUGAAGGACGAAGGCACAGAGAACAAACAGGAUUAGAUACCCAAGUAGUCUUUGCAGUAAAUGAUGAAUGCCAUAGGUUA